AGGGUGCAAGCGUUAAUCGGAAUUACUGGGCGUAAAGCGUGCGCAGGCGGUUCGGAAAGAAAGAUGUGAAAUCCCAGAGCUUAACUUUGGAACUGCAUUUUUAACUACCGAGCUAGAGUGUGUCAGAGGGAGGUGGAAUUCCGCGUGUAGCAGUGAAAUGCGUAGAUAUGCGGAGGAACACCGAUGGCGAAGGCAGCCUCCUGGGAUAACACUGACGCUCAUGCACGAAAGCGUGGGGAGCAAACAGGAUUAGAUACCCUGGUAGUCCACGCCCUAAACGAUGUCAACUAGCUGUUGGGGCCUUCGGGCCUUGGUAGCGCAGCUAACGCGUGAAGUUGACCGCCUGGGGAGUACGGUCGCAAGAUUAAAACUCAAAGGAAUUGACGG
This 387-nucleotide ribosomal RNA is filed under the name uncultured bacterium. Its description in RNAcentral is "bacterial SSU rRNA". It matches the Rfam family "Bacterial small subunit ribosomal RNA", at positions 529 to 916 of the family's 1533-position model. The record is from RNAcentral.